This 114-nucleotide non-coding RNA is filed under the name Peptococcaceae bacterium. RNAcentral describes it as "SAM-I sequence". It matches the Rfam family "SAM riboswitch aptamer (S box leader)". Rfam says of the family: The SAM riboswitch is found upstream of a number of genes which code for proteins involved in methionine or cysteine biosynthesis in Gram-positive bacteria. The SAM riboswitch acts at the level of transcription termination control. The predicted structure consists of a complex stem-loop region followed by a single stem loop terminator region. Lineage: Bacteria; Bacillati; Bacillota; Clostridia; Eubacteriales; Peptococcaceae. The record is from RNAcentral.
CUCUUAUCCGGAGUGGUGGAGGGACUGGCCCUAUGAAACCCGGCAACCAGCUUUAUUGAAACAUAAAGCAUGGUGCUAAUUCCUGCAGGAGUGAAGACUUCUGACAGAUAAGAG